ACAAAAAGGACCCGCAUGGUUUCAAAACCGUGCGGGUCAAUUCGUAUCUGAGGAACCUCAGAUACCUAUAUGGGAGAGGAGAAACCGGAGGAAGAGCUUAUGGGGAAAAGUAAGUCUUCUCCGCGG
Molecule: regulatory RNA element, 126 nt
Organism: Novibacillus thermophilus
Lineage: Bacteria; Bacillati; Bacillota; Bacilli; Caryophanales; Thermoactinomycetaceae
Rfam family: ylbH leader
About the family: This family is a putative regulatory RNA structure that is found upstream of the ylbH gene in B. subtilis and related low GC Gram-positive bacteria.
Source: Rfam